RNAcentral lists this ribosomal RNA (397 nucleotides) under uncultured bacterium. RNAcentral's name for it is "bacterial SSU rRNA". It matches the Rfam family "Bacterial small subunit ribosomal RNA", at positions 30 to 422 of the family's 1533-position model. The record is from RNAcentral.
AGUGAACGCUGGCGGCAGGCCUAAUACAUGCAAGUCGAACGGCAGCACAGCAGAGCUUGCUCUGUGGGUGGCGAGUGGCGGACGGGUGAGGAAUACGUGGGAAUCUGCCCAGUCGUGGGGGAUAACGUAGGGAAACUUACGCUAAUACCGCAUGCGCCCUUCGGGGAAAGCCGGGGACCUUCGGGCCUGGCGCGAUUGGAUGAGCCCACGUCGGAUUAGCUAGUUGGCGGGGUAAAGGCCCACCAAGGCGACGAUCCGUAGCUGGUCUGAGAGGAUGAUCAGCCACACUGGAACUGAGACACGGUCCAGACUCCUACGGGAGGCAGCAGUAGGGAAUAUUGGACAAUGGGCGCAAGCCUGAUCCAGCCAUGCCGCGUGAGUGAAGAAGGCCCUCGGG